AAAACAUCGCCUCCUGCAACACAACCAAGUAUAGGAGGUCCAGCCUGCCCAGUGACUACAAGUUCAACGGCCGCGGUAUUUUGACCGUGCAAAGGUAGCGCAAUCACUUGUCUUUUAAAUAGAGACCUGUAUGAAUGGCUAAACGAGGGCUUAACUGUCUCCCCUUUCCAGUCAGUGAAAUUGAUCUACCCGUGCAGAAGCGGGUAUAAUAAUACAAGACGAGAAGACCCUUUGGAGCUUAAGGUACAAAACUCAACCACGUUAAGCAACUCAAUAAAAAGUGAAAACUUUGUGGAACAUGAGAUUUUACCUUCGGUUGGGGCGACCACGGAGGAAAAAAGAGCCUCCAGGUGGAACGGGAGAAUUUCCUAAAACUAAGAGAGACAUCUCUAAGCCACAGAACAUCUGACCAAAUAUGAUCCGGCUAAUACAAGCCGAUCAACGAACCAAGUUACCCUAGGGAUAACAGCGCAAUCCUCUCCCAGAGUCCAUAUCGACGAGGGGGUUUACGACCUCGAUGUUGGAUCAGGACAUCCUAAUGGUGCAGCCGCUAUUAAGGGUUCGUUUGUUCAACGAUUAAAGUCCUACGUGA
RNAcentral lists this ribosomal RNA (592 nucleotides) under Carassius sp. UAIC 14266.01. RNAcentral's name for it is "partial 16S ribosomal RNA". It matches the Rfam family "Bacterial large subunit ribosomal RNA", at positions 1810 to 2603 of the family's 2925-position model. The record is from RNAcentral. Lineage: Eukaryota; Metazoa; Chordata; Actinopteri; Cypriniformes; Cyprinidae.